GGAGAGGUGCCCGAGUGGUUGAAGGGAACCGUCUUGAAAACGGUCGUGGGGCAACCCACCGUGGGUUCGAAUCCCACCCUCUCCGCCA
This 88-nucleotide transfer RNA is filed under the name Thermoflexus hugenholtzii. RNAcentral's name for it is "tRNA-Ser". It matches the Rfam family "tRNA". From Rfam's summary of the family: Transfer RNA (tRNA) molecules are approximately 80 nucleotides in length. Their secondary structure includes four short double-helical elements and three loops (D, anti-codon, and T loops). RNAcentral also lists the same sequence under 5 other names. Lineage: Bacteria; Bacillati; Chloroflexota; Thermoflexia; Thermoflexales; Thermoflexaceae. The record is from RNAcentral.